Branchiostoma floridae (Florida lancelet) is the source of this 1217-nucleotide long non-coding RNA. RefSeq lists it as uncharacterized. Lineage: Eukaryota; Metazoa; Chordata; Leptocardii; Amphioxiformes; Branchiostomatidae. The record is from RefSeq and is a predicted model, not a curated record. The transcript has 2 exons.
AGCCAAUCAACGUGCAGAAUAUAUAGGUCAUAUUGGACAAGGGUCAGUGGAUUGUACCAUUACAAAAGAGGGAGCAUAAUAGUCUACACAAGCUUUACAAGAGAUCUAGAGAGGGUCAGACCCUUUGGUUAAUCAUUGCAAUUUCAUUGAAUAAAAUAACAAUAACAAAAGUAAUCAUUAGGAGAGCAAGGUCCAUUUCCAUGUCAUUUGAUCACAUCAUUGCAAGAAGAAAGCUACUUGUGUAGACUUGCUACAUCUACUGAAAUGGGGACGGGUGAACUCAGCUGAGUGUCGUUGCGGCCACCCAACCCAAACCAUGGGACACAUUACAAAGGACUGUGUAUUAGGCCCCAACAUCUCCAACCAGGACCUACUAGAAGCUAACGAGAAGGCCGUGGCCUGGCUGCAGUACUGGCACGGAACGAUAUGAUGAUGAUCUAUUGCAAUAAAACUCUGGUUACUGCUGAUUAGAAAAACCCAUGGUAGCAUUGGUCCCUCUUGGUUGGUACAAGAAGUGGUCUUGGACCAUGGACUACGGUAUGUCUAAUACUGAAAUGAAGUACAAUACAUUAUUGUACUGGUAAAUUGCAACACAAGUGAAUAAUGAGAUGCAAGGCCAUGUACUGGAAAUACUGAUUGUUUAUACCUGGGAACUUCCACAGUCGAAAUACAGGAACUGUAGCUGAGUAACAUGUACAUAUGUCAACUAUCAACAGGGUACAAGAAGUCGUAAUCUUACGCUAUCCUUGUGAAAAUCGUUGCAACAGGUCUCAUCCUUUACAAAAAGUUGUCCAAUUAAAGGCACUUUAUCUACAAUACGAAGUUUUAAAAAAGUUCAGUCUUCGAUUCGAUCUAUAGUUCAACCAUCAAACUUCCUCUAACUUUGUAAUUUGACUGCCUGUACACUUAUGAUAGUGGUACUAUCAAGGCAGUGAGUGGGCAUUAUACAGGGUUGGGUACAUGAUUUUAAAAUGGUAUAUAUGGCAUCAAAAGUUACUAAAACACUAGCAUUACACUUACCAAAGCAUAAGAACUAUACACUGUGAUUUACAAAAGCCUAUAUACAUAAUUUUACAUGUAUAAAAGCACACUGAACACUGCAACUUUACAUUACAUGUACGACUUAAUGGUACAUUAUGAUAUUACAUUACAAAUGUGCAUAUACGUACAUACUUAAGUUAUAUUCAUAUUUAGAAGAGCAUUGCUAUAUCAUUGUA